GUGGGGCUGUAGCUCAGUGGUAGAGCCCUUGCCUCUCAGGUGUGAGGCCCUAGGUUUGAUCCUCAGCACCACA
RNAcentral lists this transfer RNA (73 nucleotides) under Marmota monax (woodchuck). Its description in RNAcentral is "tRNA.Glu". It matches the Rfam family "tRNA". Rfam says of the family: Transfer RNA (tRNA) molecules are approximately 80 nucleotides in length. Their secondary structure includes four short double-helical elements and three loops (D, anti-codon, and T loops). The record is from RNAcentral. Lineage: Eukaryota; Metazoa; Chordata; Mammalia; Rodentia; Sciuridae.